AAGAACAGUAUUACGAUUUAAUUUCCAAAUUUACCUUGGAAAUUGAGAAUAUUCGUGACAGAUAUAACGAAGAAAGAGAGCACCCGGAAUUGCCUCGAAAUAUGCCGCCAGUCGCAGGCAGAAUAUUUUGGAUAAGGUUUUACGAUUGCAACAUUAAGAAACCUAUGGAGGUUUUUAUGAAGCACCGUGAUAUUAUUACACAUAUGAAUACACAGAGAUGCAUUAAACUUUACAACGUCAUGCAAAUAGUUGUUACUGAAUAUGAACUU
Molecule: long non-coding RNA, 269 nt
Organism: Hyposmocoma kahamanoa
Lineage: Eukaryota; Metazoa; Arthropoda; Insecta; Lepidoptera; Cosmopterigidae
Exons: 3
Source: RefSeq, a predicted model, not a curated record